Molecule: ribosomal RNA, 484 nt
Filed under: uncultured bacterium
Lineage: Bacteria
Description: partial 16S ribosomal RNA
Rfam family: Bacterial small subunit ribosomal RNA
Source: RNAcentral
AUUGAACGCUGGCGGCAGGCCUAACACAUGCAAGUCGAACGGCAGAACGGUGCUUGCUUGUGGUUUCAGGGGCGGACGGGCGGGUGAUGCCUAGGAAUCUCCCUGGCUAUUGUGUCUAACGUCAGAAAGUGGGCGCAAAUACCCCAUUAGCCCAGAGGGACAAAGUGGGGGAUCUUGGGAUCUUCCGCUCUUACAUGAGUCUAGGUCGGAUUAGCUAGUUGGUGGGGUAAAGGCGUACCAAGGCGACGAUCCGUAACUGGUCUGAGAGGAUGAUCAGUCACACUGGAACUGAGACACGGUCCAGACUCCUACGGGAGGCAGCAGUGGGGAAUAUUGGACAAUGGGCGCAAGCCUGAUCCAGCCAUGCCGCGUGUGUGAAGAAGGUCUUCGGAUUGUAAAGCACUUUUAGUGGGGAAGAAGAGCAGUAGGUUAAUACCUCGCUGUUUUGACGUUACCAACAGAAUAAGCACCGGCUAACUUCGUG